RNAcentral lists this ribosomal RNA (30 nucleotides) under Nymphoides aquatica. RNAcentral describes it as "partial 26S ribosomal RNA". The record is from RNAcentral. RNAcentral also lists the same sequence under 4 other names. Lineage: Eukaryota; Viridiplantae; Streptophyta; Magnoliopsida; Asterales; Menyanthaceae.
CGACCCCAGGUCAGGCGGGAUUCACCCGCU